RNAcentral lists this long non-coding RNA (2070 nucleotides) under Homo sapiens (human). Its description in RNAcentral is "HSALNT0144068". The record is from RNAcentral. Lineage: Eukaryota; Metazoa; Chordata; Mammalia; Primates; Hominidae.
GCCGAGGCCUGCUGCCAGGAUCUGGGUGGUCAUGGCCACCCAGGUGACCACGCCGCUGUACUGCAGACUUAUAAAAGAAGUAGAACACACAUGCUUCCCAUUAGGUGAGAAAGAAACAUGCCUGAGAGUCUAAUGGAUUACUCAAGUCUGUGCUGCCAAGGAAGAACAGAAUCUUUAGGUCUUCUGUGCAAAGUUGUGUCCACCCCCAAAGUCUGAAGUGGCUCCAUUCACAAACUUACAUGGAAUUUGGACUUGGCCAUCUUUCCUUUCAAGAAUAUAUGAUUUUUAAGUUGCAGCCCUGGGCUUAUGGUGAAUUGGCAAGCACGUGUGAGAAAGAUCAUGUUGUCUUAAGCAACUUUGAUUCCAAGAGAAGAAGAGUAAUAUGAGUACUCCAGUCCAGUCACCUGAUGAGAGAUUCCUGAAGGGAGAACUUGCAUCUUCAAAGCGUUGGAGGUAGAAGGAAGACAGGCAGAAGGACAUCCCAGAAUCAACCCAGAAUGUGGUGGAAGUGACUGCAUCAACCCUGAGCCGACACACCCAGAAGCCUUGCAGACUUCUACUUCCUGCCUUGGAAUCCUGACAAGCCACUACUUAAGCAAAUGUGAGCUACCCUUUUAGUGGUGGUUACAUGGGAUUAGAUGAGAUACAUGGGGCCCGGAUUCCUGAUUGCCCCACUUGACAGCUGAGAAACACCUGGGAGCAGGGCUGCCCAGCUAACAUCUGCUGACUGCAGAUGAAUGAACAAGCCCAGCCAGAUAGAGAAGAAACAGUCAGCUGGGCCAUAAACAAUGUUUUGUAAUAAUCGUUUAUUUAUAUGGUUUACAUUUUGUUUAACUCUCAUUUUUUAAUGGGAAUAGGACUUUUUUAUUGUGGUAAAAUGUACAUAAUGAAAAUUUACCAUUUUAACUAUUUUAGCUGUACAAUUCAGUGGCAUUCAAUGUUGUGCAAUGCUCACAACUACUUCCAACUUUUUUCAUUAUUCCAAACAGAAACUCUAUGCCAUUAAGCAAUAACUUUUGAUUCUUCCCAUCCCCAGCUCUUGGUAAUCUCGAUUCUACUUUCUGCCUAUAUGAAUUUGCCUAUUUUAGACACCCCACAUAAGUAGAAUCAUACAAUAUUUGUUCUUUUGUAUUUGACUUACUUUACUUGGCAUAUUUUCAAGGUUCAUCAUGUUGUAUUAUGUAUUAGACUUUUAUUUCUACUUAUGGCCGAAUAUCAUCCUGUGGUAGAUAGAUAGAUAUAAAAUAUGGUAAAUAUAUGUAUAUAUAUUAUUUAUCUCUUCAUUUGUUAAUGGACACUUGAGUUGUUUCUACCUUUUGACUACUGUGAAUAACACUGCUAUGAACACUGGUAUAGAACUACCUGAGUGAGUGUCUGCUCAAUUACUCUGGGUAUAUACCUAGACGUUGAAUUGCUGGGUCAAAUAGUUAUUCUAUGUUGAACAUUUUGAAGAUUGCCAAAAUUUUCCAGAGUGACUGCAUCAUUUUAUAUUCUCACCAGCAGUUCACAAAGAUAACAUUUUCUCCACAUCCUUGCCAACACUUGUAAUUUUCUAUUUGUUUGAUAAUAGUCAUGCUAGUGAGUGUGAAGUGGUGAUAUCUCACUGUGGCUUUGAUUUGCAUUUUCCCAAUGACUAAUGAUGUUGAACAUUUUCUUUUUCAUGUGGUUAUUGAUCAUUUGUAUAUCUUCUUUGGAAAAACUGUCUAUUCAAGUCUUUUGCUCACUUUUUGAGUCAUUUCUUUUGUUAUUGAGUCAUAGGAGUUCCUUACAUAUUCUGGAUAUGAAUUUCUUUUCAGAUAUAUGUUUUAAAAAUAUUUUCUGUCAUUUUGUUGGUUUUCUUGAUAGUGUUCUAUCAUUACCAAGUGUCAAUGCUAAUUAAAAAAAAAUUUGAUGAAGUCUAAUUUAUUCAUUUUUAAAUUACUUGUAGUUUUAUUACCAUACUUAGAGACCAUUACCAAAUCUAAGGUCAUGACAAUUUUUUCUUAUGCUUUCUUUUAAAAAUAUUUUAGUUUUUAUCUGACAAAGGGCUAAUAUCUGACAAAGAGCUAAUAUCUGACGAAGGGCUAAUAU